This 154-nucleotide non-coding RNA is filed under the name uncultured Butyricicoccus sp. RNAcentral describes it as "glmS glucosamine-6-phosphate activated ribozyme". It matches the Rfam family "glmS glucosamine-6-phosphate activated ribozyme aptamer", at positions 5 to 148 of the family's 167-position model. Rfam says of the family: This entry contains a glucosamine-6-phosphate activated ribozyme that is found in the mRNA for GlmS. The record is from RNAcentral. Lineage: Bacteria; Bacillati; Bacillota; Clostridia; Eubacteriales; Butyricicoccaceae.
AUUUUUAAGCGCCAGGACUGUGAAAAGGUACGGUUUUUAUGUUUCACAGUUGACGAGGUAAGGGUUUAUCGAAAGAUUCGGCGGAUGACCCUUCGGCCGAUAGUGGGUUGGUCGUGAGCGGCUUUUCAAAGAGCGGAAGUGAUUUCGUAACAAG